Molecule: ribosomal RNA, 683 nt
Filed under: Burkholderia cenocepacia
Lineage: Bacteria; Pseudomonadati; Pseudomonadota; Betaproteobacteria; Burkholderiales; Burkholderiaceae
Description: bacterial LSU rRNA
Rfam family: Bacterial large subunit ribosomal RNA
Source: RNAcentral
GUGCAUGGUAGGCAGUUUGACUGGGGCGGUCUCCUCCCAAAGCGUAACGGAGGAGUACGAAGGUACGCUAGGUACGGUCGGAAAUCGUGCUGAUAGUGCAAUGGCAUAAGCGUGCUUAACUGCGAGACCGACAAGUCGAGCAGGUGCGAAAGCAGGUCAUAGUGAUCCGGUGGUUCUGUAUGGAAGGGCCAUCGCUCAACGGAUAAAAGGUACUCUGGGGAUAACAGGCUGAUACCGCCCAAGAGUUCAUAUCGACGGCGGUGUUUGGCACCUCGAUGUCGGCUCAUCUCAUCCUGGGGCUGUAGCCGGUCCCAAGGGUAUGGCUGUUCGCCAUUUAAAGAGGUACGUGAGCUGGGUUUAAAACGUCGUGAGACAGUUUGGUCCCUAUCUGCCGUGGGCGUUGGAUAUUUGAAGGGGGCUGCUCCUAGUACGAGAGGACCGGAGUGGACGAACCUCUGGUGUACCGGUUGUCACGCCAGUGGCAUCGCCGGGUAGCUAUGUUCGGAAGAGAUAACCGCUGAAAGCAUCUAAGCGGGAAACUCGCCUUAAGAUGAGAUAUCCCUGGGGACUAGAUCCCCUUGAAGGGUCGUUCGAGACCAGGACGUUGAUAGGUCAGGUGUGUAAGCGCAGUAAUGCGUUCAGCUAACUGAUACUAAUUGCCCGUAAGGCUUGAUCCUAUAACA